Long non-coding RNA from Cavia porcellus (domestic guinea pig), 2830 nucleotides. RefSeq lists it as uncharacterized. The record is from RefSeq and is a predicted model, not a curated record. The transcript is spliced from 2 exons. Lineage: Eukaryota; Metazoa; Chordata; Mammalia; Rodentia; Caviidae.
AUUAAUUAUGAUCCUCUUUUACAACUAGAGACAUACAAUGAAAAGGAGGGGAAAAGGUCAGUGCUGUCCUACAUUCAGACUUUCUAUGCAUUGGGAAAUACUUCUUAUUUAUAUUCUAAAUGUAAAUGUGAGUAACAGGAAAACUCAGCACCUUGGGCUCUUAAGGCAUCUUCUACCCAAGAGCCGAAAAUUGCACCUCCUGAACCUUUAGAACCUGAGGACAAAAUAGCCUUAAUCAAAUCCUCCCCCCCUUUUUUUACUGAACCUAAGGUUUCCCCCACCUGCCCUUCCAGCCUUAAGGAUAAAGCUUCUAGGCCAGCUGUAAUCCAGGCCUUUCCAGGACUAUACCCAUCCUUAGCUGAGUUUAAGCAAGCUCCUCAAGGGCAGUAUCCUUUGCAGGGAGUACAUGGAUGAUCUGGAACUUCCAGAAUUCAUGUACCUUUCUCUCUUGGUGACCUAAAACAAAUAAAAUUAGAUCUUGGGAAAUUUUCAGAUGAGCCUGACAAGUACAUUCAGGUCCUUAGAGGACUUACUCAGGCAUAUUAAGUAGAUUGGAAAGAUGUAGUGUUACUCUUAAAUCAGACAUUCAUUUCUAGUGAGAGACACGCAGCAUUACAGGCUGCUAUUGCCUUUGGAUAUGAAUACCAUAUUGUCAAUUUUAGAAGGCCAGAAGAUAAAGGGAAAUAACUUUAGCAACUAGUUUAAAUUUAACUUGUGCAAGAAUAAAAUAAUAAAAAUAUGCCAUUAAAUCUUGUAAUCCACAAACGAGCCCCCAAAGCCCAAACUCGAGUUCAAAAAUGGACAAGAUGUGUUUUUAUUUUAAAAAAGCAGCACUGAUUUAUUUUGUCCUGGACCAGCGACACAGUGCAGUUGGAGUUUGCAAAAGCUGUGUUCCCACUGGAUCACAAACAGUCCCUAUGCAAGACUCUUACUGGGCCCACAACCAGGUGAGUGAUUGGAUUAGAAAUCAUUUCCAGACAUGUGUUCUUGAAGGCUGAAGAAGAGUGAGAACUAAACCAUUCAAUUAUUUUAAGUUAUCAGUUAUUCAAUAAGAAAAGAAGGAACAAUUUUCUGCCUCCUUAGAUGGAUUAUGAGAGGCAUUGAUAAAGCAUACUUCUUUAGAUUCUGAUUCAAUAGAGGGACAAAUUAUCCUUAAAGAUAAGUUUAUUACACAGUCAGCCUCAGCUAUUAGAAAAAAGCUACAAAAGAUGGCUUUUCCUCCAGAUAGUCCACUUGAUACUUUAUUUAUUCAUUCAUUUUGUGUGUGUUGGAGUUUGUGGAUCAAACACAACACACAUUUGACAGGCAAGUGAUUUUGCUACUGAGCUAAACCCCCAGCUCACUUGAUACUUUAGUAAAAGUUGCCUCCUCAGUAUUUUAUAACUGUGAUGAGAGGAAGGUCAAAGAGAGAAAACAAAGAGACUGAGAAAAAGCAGCUGCUUUUGCACAGCAUUAAGAGAAACAGACCCUAAGUCUGAUUCUCAGGUCUCCAAGAAUAGCUCAACGAUGACUUUCACCUGCCAUCACUGCCACAAGCCAGGUGACCUUAAGAGGGACUGCACUCAAAAGCCCCCUGGGCCAUGCCCUGACUGCAGACGUGACCACUGGAUGUCAGACUGCCCUCUCAGCCCAAGGCCCCACCAGGGUUCAGAUUCAUCCUACCUUUACCUCUUAUCAAAAUAACAAAUACACCUCAAAACCUAGGCCUCAGUCCGCUUGAAAUGCCUUAUGGAUGCCCUUUCCUCACUGAUGAUUUUCUCUUUGUCAGAGAAACAGAUGCCUUAUAAAAAGACAUCACCUCAUUGGCUAAAUUCCAGCAAACUCUUCAAGAGCUUACAGAAGCUCAGCCUACAGAGAAAGGAAAACCUAUCUUCCACCCUGGAGAUUUAGUACUGGUAAAAUCCCCUCCCUCAUCAGCCAUUGGGAAGGACCUUACACUGUGAUCCUGUCGACUUCUUCCAUGCUGAAGACAAGAGGCCUGGACACUCGGAUGCAUCACACCUGACACAAACCCUGGAAACUUGAGACUAUCACUGGAUGUGAACAACCACCCACAUACUCCUGUGAACGCACAGAAGACCUAAGAUUCCUCUUCAAGAAGAAAACAAAGACUUCAGACUUAGAGCUGUAUGCCUACCCAUGAUGAAAAUGCCUGGUAUCUAUUGAGGGCCUCUAGACAGGAUCUCUGCAGAAGUAUCUCUGACUGCUGGUCACCACUACAACCCUCUUCAGCCUGAAGAAGCCAGAUCGGUCAUCACCCAUGACACCCUCAUGGCAGUUCUUGUUACUUCUUCAGAGAGGGGACUGUUAUAAGCAGCUGAGUUAGUUAGAAAUACUACAGGAAGUGAGACAGGGCUAGGUCCUCAAAGGAGCCAGUGCAGAAGCUCAGAUACCUUGCAACUAAGGGGAAGACAAGCACCUGCUGCUGUGGGCCAAGCCUCAAGAUAAAAGACCAUACAAAUACAUCCAUAUCCUAAGGAGUGAAGUUCUAAAGAGUUCCCCAGCAUGCUGAGGAAGUAAGGAGUGACAUUCCAAACCUUUAGGGAAGAUUCACUGCUCUCUAAGAAUUCCUGCAUUCUAAGUGAUUCCCUUCCCGUUUUGUCCCCACUUUAAUCAAUUUUACCUGAACUAUUAAUCUUAUUGGUUAGCCUUAGUUUUGUACCACCUUAUGCCCAUCUGCCUUGUGAGUACCCAGUUUCCCCAUGUUAAACCCUUUGUAUGCCAUGAUUUCCUAGAACUGUCUGGAAAAUAUAGAGUCCCUGGCAACCCGCUUUUGUCUCUCUCUCAGACAGAAGCUUGUUUUCUCUCAAUAAAUGUAUUCUACUCUUAA